ACCUGGCUGGCUCAGUGGGUAGAGCCUGGGACUCUUAAUCUUGGGGUCGUGAGUUUGAGCCCCACGUUGGGCG
Molecule: transfer RNA, 73 nt
Filed under: Ailuropoda melanoleuca (giant panda)
Lineage: Eukaryota; Metazoa; Chordata; Mammalia; Carnivora; Ursidae
Rfam family: tRNA
About the family: Transfer RNA (tRNA) molecules are approximately 80 nucleotides in length.
Source: Rfam by way of RNAcentral